CCAGGGUGAAGGAUGGUGGGUGUUGUCGUCCAAACAUAUCUCCAGGUCUUUCUCGCCCAUCUUCAAUAGUGAUGAAAUAGAAAUAGUUCCUAAUUUGAACUUCCUGACUAGAAAUAGUUCCUAAUUUGCAUUUAGAGGUGAAGAGUAGCACAUGCAACUGUAUGUAUGUAUGUAUGUAUGUAUGUAUGUAUGUAUGUAUGUAUGUAUGUAUAUGGAGGUGUAUGUGUAUGUGAAGAGUAGCACAUGCAACUGAAUGUAUGUAUGUAUGUAUGUAUGUAUGUAUGUAUGUAUGUAUGUAUGUAUAUGGAGGUGUAUGUGUAUGUGAAGAGUAGCACAUGCAACUGAAUGUAUGUAUGUAUGUAUGUAUGUAUGAAUGUAUGUAUGUAUGUAUGUAUAUGGAGGUGUAUGUGUAUGUGUAUAUUAAUCUCAGUCCUUGGUUUUGGCGUUUUGGCCUUCCAGUGCGGGAGGGGGCUGGGUUGACGGCCUUUCGCGGUCCCCGCUUGGAGGGCGUCGGCAUUGCUCGACGACGCCCCGGUCGUCCCUUCCCCUUGGUUGCUUCAGCGAAGGGGUUAAGGGGCAGAGCCUUUUCUUUUGCGCCUAGAGAGGAGGCAGGGAAAGGGGGCUGGGAAUCCAGCUUCCUUCCCGCUCCCUCUUUCUGCUCUCCCGACGUCUUUGAAGCCAGGCCUGCGGGGAUCCCUCUCGGGGAGAGCGCCAGAAUUCUUCAUUGGUCAAGCGUGAUUGGACACACAAGAAAUUUGUCUUGGUGCAAGGUGCUCUCUGUACAUAAAAGAAAAGAUACAUUCGUCAAGAGUCGAGAAUCAUCAGGUAUGACACUUAAUGAUAGUCAUAGGGUACAAUAAGCAAUCAAAUCAUACUAGGAAACAGUCAAUAUAAAUAGNAUAGUCAUAGGGUACAAUAAGCAAUCAAAUCAUACUAGGAAACAGUCAAUAUAAAUAGUAAGGAUACAAGUGACAAAGUUACAGUCAUGCAGUCACAAGUGGGAGGGGAUGGGUCAUAAGGAGUGAUGAGAAGAUUAAGAGUAAAGUAGUGCAGACUUUGUAAAUAGUUGGACAGUAUUGAGGGAAUUAUUUGUUAAAGCAGAGUGAUGGCAUUUGGGAAAAAACUGUCCUUGUGUGUAAUUGUUCUGGUAUGCAGUGCUCUAUAGCAUUGUUUUGAGGGUAGGAGUUGAAACAGUUUAUAUAAAUAUUUUCACAGCUCUCUUUUUGACUCGUACAGUUUACAGUUCCUUGACUGAAGGCAGGUUGGUAGUAAUUGUUUUAUUGGUGCCCCAUUCCAUGAAUUAACCAAGUUAAACUAAAAAAAUAGCAAUUGACAACCUUUUGGGAUGUUCAGUUGUAUAUCCUUGCUUGCCAUUUGUUUCAUGAGAUUUCAGAGUUGCAAUGGAGUCACUGAAACAGUAGAUGUGAGCUUAAAUGGACUAUGGAGGAUGGUAGAGGACACGAAGGCCUGGAGGAACGUUGUCCAUGGGGUCGCGAUGGGUCAGACAUGACUCUGCAACUAACAACAACACCUGGUCCACAAAUUUGUGGUUAAUUUGUGUUCCUAUGGUUAUGAAGGUGCAGGAAAAGGAGUUGCACCAAUUCAUGUGUUGCCAACCACUGCACUUUUAUGAUGGUUGCAUCCCACACUCUUGAUUCUCACUCGUGACUUUCCCAGCUAGUAAAGCAAAAUCUGUAAAGCAAAAUCAGUGAGGAUGCGGGCAGGAAAUUGCAAGUGCAGUCGUGUGAAAUUGUCUUUCAGCCCACAGGGAUUUGCUUAAGAACUGCAGAGGAACAGAUAUAAGUUGGCACUGUCAUGUGACAUCAUGCUUCAUGAUCAGGCUGCUUAGUGACACAGAUGCCAUACUCAAAUACAGUCACUAAGUGAAGACUACUUGAAUUGAGAUAUCACCAGAGUGGCUGUGGAAAAUAUAUUCUGACCUUACUUGGAGCUGAUAACUUCUAUGGGCAAACUGGUGCUUCAAAUCGUGCAG
This is a long non-coding RNA of Laticauda laticaudata (blue-ringed sea krait), 1993 nucleotides long. NCBI's taxonomy places the organism in Eukaryota, Metazoa, Chordata, Lepidosauria, Squamata, Elapidae. The record is from Ensembl.